UCUUCAACCUGCUAACUCUAUUCUCUUGAGCUUUCCAUUUUGCAUCCCUUUCUUAUCUAGAAGUUCAAGUCAAGCUAGCAUUGAGUUAAGAGUAAAUAAUAAGCACAGGUGAAAUGGCAAAAAUAUGUGGUGUUAGUUAAUAUCAUUCUCAAAUUCAAUCCUUCCAUAAUUCAUGUCUCAUACCAUACAAAUACUAAAAAUAUCCACUUCAUGCAGUUUCCUCCCAUUUUCUUAUGUUGACGAGGAAAUUUUCCAAGUCAACUAAACUGUUACACCAUUUUUUUAUUGAAAAACGGGGUCGACUUGGGUUUUGAAAAUGAAAAUGGGAGUCGCCACCAAUCUUUUUUAUAAGGUGUUAUUGGAUCACCUUGCAAAGCGUUGUUUUUAAUAAACAAUUUAAUUUUAUUAAAACAACGAUUUUGGUCCACGAAAUUCAGAAAAAACGGGUUCGGGAGUCGGUUACGCACGAGGAAGGAUUAGCACCCUCGAUACGCCCAAAAUUGGUACUUAGUUGAUUACUUAAAAUUUUUUUAUUUUUGUUUUUUGGCAAAUGUAUACUGUUUUUUUUAUAUAUAUGUAAAUAUAUGUAUAUAUAUAAAUAUAAAAAGAACAGAUGCAAAAAAAGAGAUGUGAAAAAGAAACCUUGAAACUUGUUUUUUUUAUUUCUUUUAAAGUUCUUGUACCAAAAUCUAAAAAAAAAAAAAAAAAACCCUAAAAUACAUUUUUCGUUGGCUUUUAUAGCCCAUCUUUGCUACCGUUUCUUGUCUUUUCUUCUUUGAUUUUGCAGGUGCAAGUGAUGGGACAGUGGCGGUGGCACUAGGUCGGCGACCAGCAGGGCAGCACCUAGGGUUUGAAAAAUUUUAAUUUUUUGUUUCUGAUUUGGGUUUCUGGGCUAGGGUUAGAUUUGGGCUUAUUAAGCUUUUUGUUUUCUGAUUUGGGCUGUGGUGUAUUGGGCUAGGCUAGUUGGAUCUGGGGCUGUUUGGUUAGGGUAAUGGGUUGUUUGUAAUUGGGCCCCGGGUCAAAAAUUGGGCCCUACAUAAACUGUUCAGUAAAUAAAAGAUUAAUGAUGCGGUCGGUCUUAUUAAAUCGUUUCAAGAUUUUUUUUAGUGGCAAUUACUAAUUACAAGUGGAAACACGAAAGGAAACUCAAGGUAGCAAAUACAAGACAACCUUGAGUUUGAGUUGGUAUGCACGAUAUUGCCGAGAUAUUACAUGAAGGGUACUAAAAUUAUUCAAAAAAAAAUGUUUCUUUUUGGGACAAUCAAAUAUUAGUUUUCAGCUUUAAAUACUUGUAAUCAAUAAUAAAUCCCUCGGAGGUUUUGCAG
This 1325-nucleotide long non-coding RNA is filed under the name Gossypium raimondii (Peruvian cotton). RNAcentral describes it as "long non-coding RNA (GRAI_LNC003102)". Lineage: Eukaryota; Viridiplantae; Streptophyta; Magnoliopsida; Malvales; Malvaceae. The record is from RNAcentral.